Molecule: ribosomal RNA, 417 nt
Rfam family: Bacterial small subunit ribosomal RNA
CAACGAAGAGUUUGAUCCUGGCUCAGGACGAACGCUGGCGGCGUGCUUAACACAUGCAAGUCAGGGAGAAAUCCGGCUUCGGCCGGAGAGUAAACCGGCGGACGGGUGAGUAACACGUAGGCAACCUACCUUUGGGACCGGGAUAACCUUGCUAACGCGGGGCUAAUACCGGAUAAUGCAGCGGAUCCACAUGGAUAUGUUGUUAAAGCGGACUGACUUCGGUUGGUUCGUGCCUGAAGAUGGGCCUGCGUCCCAUUAGUUUGUUGGUGAGGUAACGGCUCACCAAGACUGCGAUGGGUAGCCGGCCUGAGAGGGUGACCGGCCACACUGGGACUGAGAUACGGCCCAGACUCCUACGGGAGGCAGCAGUGAGGAAUAUUGGGCAAUGGGCGAAAGCCUGACCCAGCAACGCCGCGU